UACAGAGGGUGCAAGCGUUAAUCGGAAUUACUGGGCGUAAAGGGCGCGUAGGCGGUUUUAUAAGUUAGAGGUGAAAUCCCCGGGCUUAACCUGGGAACUGCCUUUAAGACUGUAAGACUAGAGUAGAGUAGAGGGGAGUGGAAUUUCCGGUGUAGCGGUGAAAUGCGUAGAUAUCGGAAAGAACACCAGUGGCGAAGGCGGCUCCCUGGGCUCAUACUGACGUUGAGGCGCGAAAGCGUGGGUAGCAAAC
RNAcentral lists this ribosomal RNA (250 nucleotides) under uncultured bacterium. RNAcentral's name for it is "partial 16S ribosomal RNA". It matches the Rfam family "Bacterial small subunit ribosomal RNA", at positions 524 to 773 of the family's 1533-position model. The record is from RNAcentral.